CCUACGGGGGGCAGCAGUGGGGAAUAUUGCACAAUGGGGGAAACCCUGAUGCAGCAACGCCGCGUGAGCGAUUAAGGCCUUCGGGUCGUAAAGCUCUGUCCUAAGGGAAGAAUACUGACGGUACCUUAGGAGGAAGCCCCGGCUAACUACUUGCCAGCAGCCGCGGUAAUACGGAGGUGGCUAGCGUUAUCCGUAAUUACUGGGCGUAAAGGGUGCGUAGGCGGCCCUUCAAGUCAGAGGUGAAAGGCGACGGCUCAACCGUGGUAAGCCUUUGAAACUUUAGGGAUUGAGUGCAGGGGGGGCGGGUGGUAUUCCCGGUGAAGCGGCGAAAUGCGUCGCUAUUGGGAGGAACACCAGGUGCGAUGGCGGCUGUCUGGACUAUACGGGACGCUGAGGCACGAAAGCGCUGGGGUCCAACAGGAUUCGAUACCCGUGUAGUC
Molecule: ribosomal RNA, 440 nt
Filed under: uncultured bacterium
Lineage: Bacteria
Description: bacterial SSU rRNA
Rfam family: Bacterial small subunit ribosomal RNA
Source: RNAcentral